RNAcentral lists this ribosomal RNA (440 nucleotides) under uncultured bacterium. Its description in RNAcentral is "bacterial SSU rRNA". It matches the Rfam family "Bacterial small subunit ribosomal RNA", at positions 954 to 1392 of the family's 1533-position model. The record is from RNAcentral.
GCAUAACGCGAAGAACCUUACCGUGGGUUUGACAUACAACGGAAACCGGCAGAGAUGUCGGUCCGUUCGGGGUCGUGUACAGGUGGUGCAUGGCUGUCGUCAGCUCGUGUCGUGAGAUGUUGGGUUAAGUCCCGCAACGAGCGCAACCCUCGUCCUAUGUUGCCAGCACGUUAUGGGUGGGGACUCAUAGGAGACUGGCCGGGGUCAACUCGGAGGAAGGUGGGGAUGACGUCAAAUCAUCAUGCCCCUUAUGUCUUGGGCUUCACGCAUGCUACAAUGGCCGGUACAAUGGGCUGCAAUACCGUGAGGUGGAGCGAAUCCCAAAAAGCCGGUCCCAGUUCGGAUUGAGGUCUGCAACUCGACCUCAUGAAGUCGGAGUCGCUAGUAAUCGCAGAUCAGCAACGCUGCGGUGAAUACGUUCCCGGGUCUUGUACACACCG